AAAGAAAAAGAAAAAGAAAGCGGAGGCUUUCCACUUUCAACUUUCAAGUCUCUCAACGGGAACUCUCUUGUUUUUAAUGAGGGACGCCAUAGCCAUCUUAGCUUCCUGCUCUGUUACUCUCCCUGCGACUCAUGCUCCGGCUCCUCCCUCCCACCACCGCCGCCGCCGAUGCCGCCCGUCUCCUCGCACUAACCAAUCGCUUAAUUCCACUGCUCCUUCACUUCACUCCACGGUACGAUGGGAUUAUGCUUCCACUUCCCGCAAUCGCAAUCGCAAACGCCUCGAGUAUUACACCGACCUAACCUCCAACCUCGCCCGAGAUGGAAGAUUCCGAGACUUGUUCAUGAUUGCCGAAAGCUUCGUAGUUUCAGGCGGGAAGCCUUCUCAAUUUGUGGCCUUGCUCGAUGUCAAUAUUGUUUCUGCUGGGAUUUCUAGAAUGAUUAAGGAUGGAAGGCUCGGGAGCUUGAUUGAGGUGUUAGGUGGUCUGAGGAAGCUAGGAUUCGCUGUGGUUGAGCUCUUUGACGGACUCGCAGUUGAGGCACUUCGGCAGGUGUGUCGUCGUCAGCUAGGGAAACGUGAUGACGUGGAGGAGAUUGUGAGCUUGUUGGAAACACUUCAAGGGCUUGGUUUUUCUACUAAAGAAUUCGUUGCGCCCUCCGAAAUCAUAAGGCUUUGCGUUUACAGAAGAACCCCAAGUGCUGCUAUAAGGUAUGCACAAAUUUUUCCGCAGGUACAUACGCUUUUGUGUACCAUAAUGAUUGAAUUUGGGAAGAAAAGGGACUUGGUAUCUGCACUCAGUGUUUUUGAAGUCUCCAAGCAGAAUCAAGGCUGUCCCAACAUGUAUGCCUACCGAACAAUCAUUGAUGUUUGUGGACUCUGUGGGGAUUAUUUGAAGUCUAGAUCUAUUUAUGAGGAGCUACUUGACUGUAAGUUCAUCCCAAAUAUUUAUGUUUUCAACAGUCUCAUGAACGUUAAUGCCAGUGAUUUCAGCUACAUGUUACAUAUCUAUAAGCAGAUGCAAAAAGUAGGUGUGACAGCUGAUCUGGCAUCAUAUAAUAUCCUUUUGAAGUCUUGCUGUCUUGCUGCAAGAGCUCAUCUGGCCCUAGACAUUUACAGAGAUGUUCAACAUUUGGAAUCAAAAGGGGCUCUAAAAUUGGAUGUGUUUACUUACUGUACAAUGAUCAAGGUCCUUGCAGAUGCUAGAAUGUGGAGAAUGGCACUGGAAAUAAAAGAACAUAUGCUGCUAGCUGGUGUUAUUCCCAACACUGUAACGUGGUCAUCAUUGAUCAGUGCAUGUGCCAAUGCAGGUCUUGCAGAGCAAGCAAUUCAAUUGUUUGAAGAGAUGCUUCAGGCUGGUUGUGAGCCUAAUUCACAGUGUUGCAAUGCUCUUCUUCAUGCUUGUGUUGAAGCUCACCAAUAUGAUAGAGCCUUUCGACUCUUCAAGUCCUGGAAGGAAAACGGUAUUAAGAUGUCUGUAAGAAAAGAUUUUCAUUGGAUGAACAAAAUAAAUGAUUAUGCUUGCAGCAAGCAUGAAAAUUCCAGUACAAUAACAUGUAGAACCUCUGACUCAGAGCAUCCAUCCUUUCCGAUAAGGUUUUCAUUUGCACCCACAACUUCAACAUAUAAUAUUUUGAUGAAGGCCUGUGGCACUGAUUACUACCAUGCCAAAGCAUUGAUGGAUGAGAUGAAGAUGGAAGGUCUUUCUCCGAAUAACAUAACAUGGUCCAUUUUGAUUGAUAUUUGUGGAGGCUCAGGAAAUGUACAUGGUGCUUUGCAGAUCUUAAGGUCCAUGCACCAGGCUGGUACUCAACCUGAUGUUGUCACAUAUACAACAGCUAUUAAGAUUUGCGUGGAACACAAAAAUAUCAAAGUUGCAUUUUCAUUACUUGCAGAAAUGAAAAGAUAUCAAAUAAAACCUAAUCUGGUGACAUAUAAUACUCUUCUCAGGGCUAGGAGCCAGUAUGGUUCCCUGCAGGAGGUACAACAAUGCCUAGCAAUAUAUCAGGAUAUGCGAAAAGCAGGGUAUAAACCUAAUGAUUUCUAUCUGAAACUGCUAAUUGAGGAGUGGUGUGAAGGUGUAAUACAACAAAACAAACAGAAUAAAGGCCAGAUUGCUUCCGACAGAGCUUCUUUAGGGCCUCAGAGUCUGCUUCUUGAGAAAGUUGCAGAGCACUUGCAGGACAGUAAUGCUGAAAGCCUGUCGAUUGACAUUCGGGGCCUCACUAAGGCUGCUCAUUUAUUUAAUCGAGUCUUCCAUGCAAUGCAUUGACAGAUUGAAGCUCGCAUUAUGGUUCUUGCAGUUCUACGGAUGAUCAAAGAGAAGUAUAAUCCAGGAGAUUCAGUGAGAGAUGAUCUGUUGAUUAUACUAGAAGAGGAGCCGUCGGGAUGUGGUUCCAGACACGAAACUGGGUCUACUGAAGCAAUAGCUAGCUUGUUGCAGUACGAUUUGGGGCUUGAGGUUCUAUCAGUAGGGUCAGUAGAUGGUAGAAACUUUAACGGUGGUUUUGAUAUUUCCUUUCUGUAUCCUAAUUCAAAAGUUCUACAAAGAAGAGAUCUGCCACUGAAAUUGGAAUCUCCUUCUAGAAGGCCUGUACCUUUACAGCGAUUGAAGGUAACUAAGGGAUCAUUGCAUCAUUGGUUACAAAAAGGAGGUGCUUCUACCAGCAGAUCAGACUCAUCUCCUUCUGCAGAGAAGUGAACUGAAGAACUGAUAAAGUUAUCAAGUUUGUAGCAGUUAUCAUUCUUUUAUUCUUUGUAUAGAGUUGUAGAUCAGUGUUCUAUUUCUCACAAUAAGGUUGUAGAUAAAGGUGAAGUUGCAUUUCACUCAAAUCAAAUGUAUUUGACUGAGACUGACUACAAAUGUACCAUCAGUAAAGGCAAAAUUUAGAAAUGGAUACAUAGAGAAAAUCACAUGCUAC
This is an RNA transcript of Coffea arabica (coffee), 2918 nucleotides long. It is a transcript of the gene named pentatricopeptide repeat-containing protein At5g02830, chloroplastic, with no coding region annotated. The record is from RefSeq and is a predicted model, not a curated record. Lineage: Eukaryota; Viridiplantae; Streptophyta; Magnoliopsida; Gentianales; Rubiaceae.